GAUACAUAGCUCAGGUGGUAGACCAUGAGACUCUUAAUCUCAGCUUCGUUGGUUCAAGUCCCACAUUGGGCAAACG
Podarcis lilfordi (Lilford's wall lizard) is the source of this 76-nucleotide non-coding RNA. NCBI's taxonomy places the organism in Eukaryota, Metazoa, Chordata, Lepidosauria, Squamata, Lacertidae. The record is from the annotation of a GenBank genome assembly.